This 566-nucleotide ribosomal RNA is filed under the name uncultured bacterium. RNAcentral describes it as "partial 16S ribosomal RNA". It matches the Rfam family "Bacterial small subunit ribosomal RNA", at positions 355 to 914 of the family's 1533-position model. The record is from RNAcentral.
UGGGGAAUUUUGGGCAAUGGGGGAAACCCUGAUCCAGCCAUCCCGCGUGUGCGAUGAAGGCCUUCGGGUUGUAAAGCACUUUUGGCAGGAAAGAAACGUCGCGGGUUAAUACCCCGCGAAACUGACGGUACCUGCAGAAUAAGCACCGGCUAACUACGUGCCAGCAGCCGCGGUAAUACGUAGGGUGCAAGCGUUAAUCGGAAUUACUGGGCGUAAAGCGUGCGCAGGCGGUUCGGAAAGAAAGAUGUGAAAUCCCAGAGCUUAACUUUGGAACUGCAUUUUUAACUACCGGGCUAGAGUGUGUCAGAGGGAGGUGGAAUUCCGCGUGUAGCAGUGAAAUGCGUAGAUAUGCGGAGGAACACCGAUGGCGAAGGCAGCCUCCUGGGAUAACACUGACGCUCAUGCACGAAAGCGUGGGGAGCAAACAGGAUUAGAUACCCUGGUAGUCCACGCCCUAAACGAUGUCAACUAGCUGUUGGGGCCUUCGGGCCUUGGUAGCGCAGCUAACGCGUGAAGUUGACCGCCUGGGGAGUACGGUCGCAAGAUUAAAACUUAAAUGAAUUGAC